RNAcentral lists this long non-coding RNA (1488 nucleotides) under Homo sapiens (human). Its description in RNAcentral is "HSALNT0125603". Lineage: Eukaryota; Metazoa; Chordata; Mammalia; Primates; Hominidae. The record is from RNAcentral.
GUUUUCGAGGGGGAAAUGCAAGCACAUUCUCCAGCAUGGAGUCCCUAGAGGCAGUGCAUUUUAAACCCUAAAUGUGAAUUAUUAUGUGAGUGUCCGAGUAGAGUUCCAGUUCCGUUUGGAGAAACUGUAUGAGGCGUGUUCCGUGUGGGUGUGUGUGCGUACGGAUACGUGGAAGCAGGAUCUCGGUGUCGCGGGUGUCCCUAGGCUGGGAUCUCCCCCUCUCAUCAGAUAAGGAGAAUCCUCUAGCUCCCCAAAACUGGCCCCCAUAACCAAUCCCGUCUCAGUUCGUAAGGGGUUAACCAAAGCCGAUUCCAAGGAAACACAGGUCCCCCCCACCCCCCGCCACCCUCCACUUACCCCACCCACAGUUCUGCCUCGGACCCCGGCCAAUCCCCCAGAUCUCCCCCGGGACCCCCCACCCCGCAGCCCACCCACCCGAGCGCACAGCUCCUCACCUGAGGGGCCCAGUCGCGUCGGGCCUCCCGAGGGGGCUGCGAGUGUCAGUCGGCUCUCCGCACGUGUCCGCGGCCUCGCGGAGCAGUCCACCCCUGGCUGGUUUCUGCUUCCACCUGCUGAUCUCACAGAGGUGAGGUGAUAACAGUGAUGAAACAAAAUCUUCAAACCACAGCACACACUGCAAGCUAUUUGGCAUAUGAAGGUCUUGACCUGAGAAAACCAUCUUGGAUAACUGCAGCAAGGAAAAGGAAAAAUGCAACACCUAGGAGAUUUCAGUAAACAGUAGAAUCAUGCCAACCUAAUCUGUGUUAAAAUGCUUGGAAUGUGGGAGCCGCUGAUGAUGCCUCUUGUCUGUGUGUCUGACUGAAUCCUUUCUUUUCUCAGAGCAGCAAAGCAAAGCCUGGGAACCAGGCCAAAUGCCUGCCACUUACCUUAAAUUGAUCAGCCACUUUGAGAUUAAAACCCCUGAAAGCUGCCACACCGUGAAAACAAGGCCUCCUUCACAUUAAAGGCAAAUUGCGACUUUGGGUUUGCUGUGAUCUUUUUUCCAUUUUAUCCAGUUUUUCACAGUGCACUUUUUUCCCCCUUUCCAUUUAUGCUCCAAUAUAGAAGCCAAUAGUUACAGCAUCUUGGCCAAGCAUUCAUUAAGGUUUAUAAGAACAAAAUUUAUGGUUAUUUAGGAGUUGGCACAAAGGCAGACUGUUGCUGGAAAAAGAAAAAGAAAUACAGGUGGGAAAUAGAAGCCUCCACAAAGGCCCACACUAUACAGUAGUGUACUAGACUCUAGUAGUGGGCUGGGAGGAAAAUGAAAUAGUAUUUGAAACCAGCUACUCUUCUAUUCUGAAUCAUUCUCAUUUAUGGCUCUGCAGAUUAUUGAAACAAGUAUACUGGUUAUUCCAGGAGAUUUUUCUGUCUUGGGUAAAUGCUACCAUUUACAGGAGCUGACAGUAGAGAUAAAUAGAUGUGUGCCAAUCUGAGUGAUCUGGCAGUUUGGCUAAAGGAUAAAGUGCAUUUAAAAAAGAAAUAUAUAUA